RNAcentral lists this long non-coding RNA (565 nucleotides) under Homo sapiens (human). Its description in RNAcentral is "non-protein coding GMDS-DT:88". The record is from RNAcentral. Lineage: Eukaryota; Metazoa; Chordata; Mammalia; Primates; Hominidae.
ACCGCCUCAGGGAAGAGGAAGGAGGCCGCGGCUUCGCGUCCCGCCUCUCGCCUGGCUGGCCGUGGGGGGCCUGGACGCAGUGGCCUCCCGAAUCUCCCAGGACCCUAAUAUCGCCCGAGGAUGCUGGGAGGAACGCUGAGCCGACCUCUCCGUUAGGCUGAAGAUUGCACAAACCAUGCUAAUGGCCAGCAUGGAUGGAGGGAGCGUGUGAGAUGUGUGGGGCAGCGUGCUGCAUCUCAGCCAACUCCAGGAGCCAGUUGAUGUGAUGGACUACCUUAAUUGAUUUUUGAAUGUUGAGCCAGCCUUAUGCAUGUGGGAUAAACCCCUGUUGAUCAUGGCUGGCUGGAGUGCAGUGGUGCAAUCAUGGCUCACUGCAACCUCAAAUUCCUGGGCUCAAGGGAUCCUCCUGCCUCAGCCUCCCAAGUAGCUAGGACUACAGAUGGAACGAAGUCUGUUUGUGGAAACACCCUUCCCCUCUGUUUACUUGGACCUGAUUUUGAAAGUAACAAGUCACUUUAUUUGGGCUGGAGGAAAAAGCACUAAACCAGAUGUUGAGGUGACCGGG